AUGCAUGAUGAUGGUGCUAAAGGAAUACUAGAAAAAGCUUGGGUCAAGGUGGGUGGAAUCCCAACAGACAAAACAUAUGAGAGGAAUGUGGCAUUUGUAGCUUCUCUGGCAGGAGUACCACUGGAGAUUGAUAAGGCAACUAUGCACCGUCCCAAUUCUGUUAGAGUCAAAUUAGGCUGUCGUAAUGUUGAUGAGAUCAUCCCAGUGGCUGAGUCAGUCCUGGGGGAUCGAUUUUAUGAUUUUACCUUCGAUGUGGAGCAAGUGUUGAGACUAGACAAAUAUCGUCGUAAAUUCUUUUGGUGUGGAGGGAUGGGCAAAAAGCGGUAUUAUCUGGUUAAGUGGACUCGGGUGUGCCGUUCCAAGAACAAAGGAGGUCUAGGUGUUAAAGAUCUCCACAAACAGAACAUUUUUCUUUUAGCUAAAUGGUGGUGGAAAUUGGAUACAGGGGAAGGACUUUGGCAAGAAGUAGUAAGAGCAAAAUACCCGAGGAAUAAUUCUGUUGCAAAUGUUAAGACCAAAUUUAGUGAUUCCCCUGUGUGGAAAGCACUGCUUAAAGUGAAAGAAAUUUAUAUGGCUGGGAGGAAAGUAAAUGUCAAAAAUGGUAAAAUUGUCAGAGUCUGGCAUGAUCCUAUUGGCACCCACCCUCCUUUAUGUGAAGUGUAUCCUGACCUGUUUAGCAUUGCUAACUAUCAGGAUGACACGAUUGCCCAAUUUAAGAGCCGGGAUACUGGGGAGAUCUUUAGGCGCAGAUUGAAUACAGAUUUGAACCGUCACUAUGAGGGGGUUAAUGAUAUAGUUGAUAGCCUAGAACCCGUAGCGGGCCAAGAUGAGAUUGUAUGGGCCCUUGAUUCCAAGGGCAAAUACACAACUAAAUAUGUGUAUGAUUAUUUAGAGAGAGGCCUGGCCGGGUGUGACUACAGAUGGAUCUGGAAAGCUAAAUUGCCUGUCAAAAUCCAGAUCUUCCUCUGGCAACUCUUUCAAGAUGCUAUCUUGACUCGAGAUGUUAUGAAGCGUAGAAAUUGGGCUGGCAAUCCUCGCUGGCAGGGCUUCUGA
Molecule: ribosomal RNA, 1053 nt
Filed under: Triticum aestivum (bread wheat)
Lineage: Eukaryota; Viridiplantae; Streptophyta; Magnoliopsida; Poales; Poaceae
Description: partial small subunit ribosomal RNA
Source: RNAcentral